This 541-nucleotide ribosomal RNA is filed under the name uncultured bacterium. RNAcentral describes it as "bacterial SSU rRNA". It matches the Rfam family "Bacterial small subunit ribosomal RNA", at positions 777 to 1320 of the family's 1533-position model. The record is from RNAcentral.
AAUAGAUACCCGGGUAGUCCACGCCCUAAACGAUGUCAACUGGUUGUCGGGGAAGCAAUUCCUUGGUAACGAAGCUAACGCGUGAAGUUGACCGCCUGGGGAGUACGGCCGCAAGAUUAAAACUCAAAGGAAUUGACGGGGACCCGCACAAGCGGUGGAUUAUGUGGAUUAAUUCGAUGCAACGCGAAAAACCUUACCUACCCUUGACAUGUACGGAACUUGGCAGAGAUGCCUUGGUGCCCGAAAGGGAGCCGUAACACAGGUGCUGCAUGGCUGUCGUCAGCUCGUGUCGUGAGAUGUUGGGUUAAGUCCCGCAACGAGCGCAACCCUUGUCAUUAGUUGCUACAUUCAGUUGGGCACUCUAAUGAGACUGCCGGUGACAAACCGGAGGAAGGUGGGGAUGACGUCAAGUCCUCAUGGCCCUUAUGGGUAGGGCUUCACACGUAAUACAAUGGCCGGUACAGAGGGCUGCCAACCCGCGAGGGGAGCUAAUCCCAGAAAGCCGGUCGUAGUCCGGAUUGUUCUCUGCAACUCGAGAGCA